Argiope bruennichi is the source of this 74-nucleotide non-coding RNA. Lineage: Eukaryota; Metazoa; Arthropoda; Arachnida; Araneae; Araneidae. The record is from the annotation of a RefSeq genome assembly.
AGCCCUUGUAGCGCAGAGGCUAGCGCGCUGGACUUCUAAUUCAAAGGUCCCGGGUUCUAAUCCCGGCAAGGUUA